AGUAUAGUUGAUUUACAAUGUUGUACUAGUUUCAGGUGUACAGCAAAGUGCAUCAGUUAUACAUAUACAUAAAUCCAUUCUUUUUUCCCCACAUGGUUGUUACAGAACAUUGAGCUGACCAUCCCUGUGCUAUACAGUUGGUCCUUGUUAAUUACCUAUGUUAUUAUAUAUAGUAGUGUCUAUAUGUUAAUCCCAUCUUUCCAAUUUAUCCCCCCCCAACCCUACAGUUUCUCCUCUGGUAACCAUAAGUUUGAUUUCACAAACCGUGUGUUUGUUUCUGUCUUAUAAAUGACUUCUUUUGUAUCAUUUUAUAUUAAUAGUUUUAUUAUUUAAAUAUCUUUUUGAAUGUAAGGGGUUCUGUUUCCAUCUGUUCCACCAAUUAGACAGAAUUCUGGAGGUCAUCCUUUUAGGAAUGACUUUCCACUCCCAUCUUUAUUCCACCACCCUCUCCUGUAAUGAUAAAUUUCUUUAUCGUUCAGCCUUCAACUCAAGUUCACUCCCCACCCCCAUCUUCCAUUAACUGGGUCCUCUUACUCUCUACUUUCUUAGAAGCAUGUUCCUUUUCUUUGGAAUACUCAUCUCUAUAAUAAUACAACUGCCAGUAUCAUUAUUUGAAGAUAUCUGUCUCCCCCUUGUAAACUCUAGGAGUUUAGGGACUCUGUUUUGUCAUUGAAUGGUUGUCACUUGUCACAGUGUAGGCACAUAGUAGGUACUCAAUAAUUAUUUGUUGAAGGCAGGAAAGUGAUCCAGAAGAAAGGAAACCCUCUGCACAGUUAAAUAAGGAAUAUAUAAAAUAUAUGAAAAUGUUUCACGUGCAGAAUUGUGCUAUAUCCAUUCUGUUCCUCAUCAUGAAAAUGAAUUUAUUUCAUUCCAAUGGUACGUGAAAUUAACUUUUUUUUAAUCCUAAGUAACAGAGACAAAUUCUGGAUAAUUUAAAGAAACAAAGAGGGGGAAGGGGAUUUACUGGAUGAAUACUGAGAUAUUUCACAGGGUCAAUGGAGGAAGUGAGCAACAAAACCUCAGGAAGGCAGGGGGCAAAGGUAACUGGGUAGGAAAACUCAAAAGCAAAUGUUCAGAGGCCUGAUCUCUGGGCCCUGCUGUUAAGAGGAGGCCUCUAUUAAGACUGGUCUGUGCUUCCCUUUUACCAGUUUCAACUGUCAGAAGAGAGGGUACAACUGGCCCGGCUUGUGUCAACUGUCUGCCUACAGCUGAAUGAAUCCACAUGGUUGGAGAGGCAGGUCGUGUGGGACAGGCAUGGCCACUAGAGGCCUGCCCCUGUGUUUUGAUUCAGUGGAAUCUACUGUGACCAAAGUGGCCACCCCAGAUGACAACCCCCUUAGAUAGAGAAGAUGUUCACAUUAUCCAGCAAUCAUCUGGAGCAAGGGAAGGGGCAAUUUCAGGAUCAUUUCUGUAACACAUAUUUUCAUAUCGAUGUUUACUUACAUUUGUUGUUUUUAUAUUUCUUGUUAAUUUUUAUAUUUCUUUAUAGUUAUACAUAAUUUAUAUUUGUAUUAUCUCUAAAUAUUAUAUUAUCUCUUUUGAAACACAGAAAAGUAGAGAAAAAAAUAUAAUGACCCCUCAAGGUACCCAUCAUCCAAAUUUAAUAAUUACCAAUUUUGUACUAUUCUUAUUUUAUCUUCUCUGUACCCCAAAACUUGUUUCUUGGUGUAUUUUAAAAUAAAUUCCAUAUACCAAAAUUCACCUUAUAAAUAUUUCACUAUAUAUCUGUAUUAGGUAAGGAAUUUUAAAACCAUAAGAUCAUUAUCGCACCAGAAGAAAGUAACAAUAAUUCCUUAAGAUUAGAUGUAAUUGGUAUAUAUCCAGUUCUAUUAAGACUUGCUCCUUGCUAUAAGGAGAUUGCGUUCUAGGAGGAACGAUAAGAUCUUUAAAACAAGAGAAACAAACACUGUAAGAAAAGUAGCAAUGAAGCACCAUGUGAUGGUCAGAGAAGGGAGACAGUAGCGGAGAUGGAAAAAGUAAACUAUAUAUUAGAAUACAUUCAGGAGCCCAGAAACAACUGUGCGAUUAAUAUUUUCUUUUGAAAAAAUCAAGAAGGAAUUCCCAUUGUGGCUCAGUGGUGCUAGUAUCCAUGAGAAUGUAGGUUUGAUCCCUGGCCUCGCUCAAUGGGUUGAAGAUCCGGUAUGACCAAGAGCUGUGGUGUGGGUCGCAGACGCGACUCAAAACCUGUGUUGCUGUGGCGCAGACUGGCAGCUUAGCUCCAAUUUGACCCUAGCCUGGGAACUUCCAUAUGCCAUGGGUAUGGCCCUAAAAAGACAGACAGACAGACAGAAAGAAAGAAAGAAAGAGAAAGAAAAAAGAGGAUCACUGGAAUCUGAGAAAGUAGAAGACUCAGAAUUCAAACUGGCACCUGGGGACUGAAAGGCUGAAGUGCUUGAAGGAUCAGUGGAAAGUCAAAGGGCCUGGUACACUGCAGAAUCUCAGGAACAGAGGACACAGAGCAAAGGUGGGAGACCCAGCUGUCCUGCUCUCAACUGAAGGACAAGUGAAAAUCUCCAGCGAAUGGCCCAGAGGCUACAAGUAAUGAAACCAAGAAGAGGUGGGUCUUAAAGACACUCAGCUAGUAUGUGAUCCAGCAGAAUUUGUUGUUUCCUGCUGGCCUUACUUCACAUUGUAUGGGAUUAGGAUGUAUGAGCUGUUAAAUAUUUGAACAUCACCCCUGAUUACAAGAAAUAUUUCUAUGACAUUGGCUUUUACCAAGAGUAUCCUUAGUGCCUGGUCCAGUGCCUGAAACAGAGAAGGCACUCAAAUAUAUUCUGAGAGAGAAUAAACAAUGCAUAAAUUUUAUAUCGCUGUUCAGACGCAUCAUUAAACUAUUUUUAAAGUUACGUAGAAAAGUCUCAUUCACUAACUUACCUUAUGUUUUUAGAGCCCAUACUAUGAGCUUCCAGCAAUGCUGAGAAAUUUCUUCAUUAACUCAGGUAUAAAUUGCCUUUGAAAGAAAAAUGAAGAAAGAACAUUCUAGAGGAAUUGUUUUUCAAUAUGCUUCAUGUUUUCUAGUACUAUCUAGAGAACAAACCUAAAGGAGAAUUUAAGAUUAUUGCCAAAGUAAUAUUGUUAUCAAUGAAAUAUUUCUUUUAUUUGCGCAAGCAUGAGUGUAAAAGUCAUACAUUAUAACAGAAAAUAUCUGAGGAAUGAAUGUUCUUAAUUGAAAGGGAAAGUUCCUUAAAAAAACCUUACUAGUAGUAAUAUUUUAGAAUUACUUUAUUCUUCCAUAAAUAAAUAAUUAUCUAAAGAUCAUAUAUUCCUAUCAUUUCUAAUAGUAGUAUGAUCUUCCUUAUCACUCUCUCACUUUGGCGGAAAAAAAAAGUGGAGUCUGUAUAAGUAUCACUUUUUAUUCACACACACAUUUAAUUCAUUCUCUCAUCUGCAUAACUACCAUAGUAGUCAAAGGGGUUCCUGAGCAAGUUUAAUCUUGUAUGGGAGGAAUGAGUCAAUUAAGCUUCUAAAACAAUGUGUUAGAAUAAACAAGGCUGGUUCAUAACGGAUCAUUGAAUCAUUGGGCAGGAAGCAUCUUUGUUACAUAAACAAAUUAUAAAAGUGCAGUGCUGUGUAAGAAAUUUGGGUUUCUCCACAAAUCACUGAAGGUCAUAACUUAAAAUUAUAUGCAGUCUCCUCAAACAUCCAGCUCAGAAGUUUGUAUGUCUGGAUUUUGCUUUGUUUUGUUUUUCUUUCUGAGGCAUAAAUAUUCACAUUGAAUUAGAAAACAUACCACUCUACCAAAAUGAAAAUAAAGUGUGCAAAUUGUGAUUUUUCAGAGUUCCUCAGAAAGCUAUGCUACCAACUGUUAUCAGUUAACAGCCCCAGAAGGCUAUAAAUGAGUAAGGAGAGUUUGAUGGAGAUAUCUUUAGAAGCAGUGGGCAGGGUUAAGGAAAUCAACCUGUGAAAGGGAAGCAUCCCAAGACAAAAAUCAUUAGGAGCCAUGACCCUAGAUCUGAAGGGGGCAAGUGUUUCUGGAACCUGAAGAGGUUGGAGCUGUAUGGGUAUAAGAAGGAUGCUCAAAAGCAACUGUAGACACAGGUAGAAGAAAGCAGCUUUGAGGCUCUGCAGAGAGGGAGCGGGGUGAAUAAAUACCCUAACCUCACUCCCUAUGCCCUUCUGAUUUCUUUCCAAUGAAUUCUAUGGACUGAACCAAGCAGAAGCCAGAGGGCAAAGGAACAAAUCCAUAUGCUCCAUAAAGAUCAGCCAGAGUAGGGUGGAGAGUGGGUCUAGAAGGGCCGUGGGAAAUAGCCAACACACAUUCUCUUCCACCAUUAUACCUCCAGUUUCACUAGCCUUACAUCUUUGUCAGCAGUAUCUCUCAUUCCCCUGAUGAUCAAAUCAAAAAGCAAUCUAAUAGGUAUUCAGGAAGUUCAAACUAUCCAUACUGCUAUAUCUAGAUUCUAGCACUGUAAGGUCUUAUAGAAAAAUAUAAAGUACAAGACAUGGAUUCCUCCCCCAAGAUGAAGACUGGAAUAAAUGGGAACAAGAUAAUUUUUUGCAAUUUUUUUUUUUUUUUUUGGCCAUUUCUUGGGCCGCUCCCACAGCAUAUGGAGGUUCCAGGCUAGGGGUCAAAUCGGAGCUGUAGCCGCCGGCCUACACCAGAGGCACAGCAAUGCUGGAUCCGAGCUGUGUCUGCAACCUACACCACAGCUCACGGCAACACAGGAUCGUUAACCCACUGAGCAAGGGCAGGGAUCAAACCCACAACCUCAUGGUUCCUAGUCGGAUUCGUUAGCCACUGCGCCACGACAGGAACUCCAACUUUUUGUAAUUUUAUAGGUAAUUCAGGAAAAGAAAGUUGAAGAGUAAAGUUUUGGGGAGAAAUUGCACAAACCUAACAUCCCUAGAAACACUCUAAUAGCAACCUGGAACUUCGCCCAGCAUAUUUGCUGGGUAUCCUGUUCUACCAGAAAAAAAAUAACCUAAAGAGAAAUUGCCUAUUCUUUUCAUCUUCUUAGCAUGUACAUUUCUCUAAAGAGCAAAGACCAGCAGUUGUCAUAAUAGCUGUUUUAAACAUUUGGAGGGCUGCCCCAUAAAAGUCAAACCCAACAUCAAGUGGUGAUGGCCAUUUCCUCUACCUAAAAUGCUUUCCCUACUUCCUCAUCAUGCAAACUCAAUUUAUGCCUCAAGACUCCAUUCAAACAUGAACUUCGCUGAGCACUUUCUGAGUGUUCCAGGUAGAGCCAGAUUAUUCUCUGAACUUGAACCUCUAAAAUAAUUAAAAAGUUACUUUUCAAGAUAUCCGGGUUCAUAUAAUUACUUUUGAAGAUGCUACCUAAUGUUUUCUUUUACUACUUCAUUCCAGUAUAAACAUAUCAUAAAAGACACAUAUGACUAAGUUUUUCAGAACCAAAAACAUUUGCCCAGAGAGAUAUUUUUGUGGUUAAUAAAAUUUACUAAAAAAGAAAAGUAAGAACUUGCAGUAACAAUUGUACCAUGACAAUAACUCUGAACUUGAAUGUAUGAAAACUUUUAAUAGAGCAUCAAAAGAAAAACUCUAUUUUCCCAUUAAACCUCUCAUCCUUUGCUGAAUAAAAAGCUAUUACCAACCACCAUUCAUUUAUCUUUUAUAGAUUUUUCAUAGCAAUAAUUAAGGUUGUCAGUUUUUUGUUCUCUAAGCACACCUACAAAUCAAAUGACCUCAUAACUUACAUCUUGAGGCUGGUUAAUUUUGAGAGAGAAAACAGAAGUACUUAAAGAGGUUCAAUAAAUACUUUUCAUUUGAAAACUAUCCAUGAUUAAACUGAGGAAAGUCUAUUCUGGAACUUCACAGGGAAAAAAUAAUCUAAAUGGAAUGAAAAGCUAAAUAAAAUUGGUACAAAUAUAAAGAAGCAAUAUCUUUAAUUUCAAAUUUUUAUUUAGGACUCUAAAACCUAUGAUCAUUUGGAAUUCAAAACAAGUUGUAGAUGAAUUAGAAGGUGAAAUAGCUGCAACCUCAUUCAAUUUUCCAUUUGAAUCAGAUGUAGGUCUGAUUUAAAUAAAGAACUGUUCACUUAGAGCAGGUUCAAAGCCACAAUCUUCAAAAUAUUUUGGAAAGAAAUCAGAACUAUUCAUUUACAUCAAAGGUUUAUUGAGUGCCUGGUCUGAGCCAGACACUAUGCUAUGUCUUUCUCUUUCUCUCUCUCUCUCUGCUAGUAUAGUAUAGUAGGCAGUAUAAACACUGUUAAAAUUAUACGUGUUAUAUGCUGAAAGGGGAAGUGGGGAGUUAUCAUUUUUUAAUGGGCCGGGUACAAUGUAUACAGAGUCUGAUUUAAUCUUCACAAUGACCCUAAGAGUCUGCUAUUAUUCACCCAAUUUUACAAAUGAGAAACUAAAUCAGAUAGACUCAAUGAGGUCACAAAGGUUACCCUGUUAAUGAGGAGUAGGGUUUAAAUGCCAACUACGAUCUGUCUGACGGCAGAGUUUAUUCUCUUUUCUCUAUACAAUGAGAGGUGAAUCUUGAGCCACACGAGAAUUGUGAGGCGCCACUGUACAAGUACCUUAGAGUGCACUGCAAAAAAAAACCCCUCUGUGGGACACCAUGCCUGGCAUCAGGAGUGUGGUGGGAACAGGAGCUAAGAGUGAUGGAUUCUGUACGGUGGAGCCAGAUCUGUCUUCACCAAGAAAAACACAAAGGACAGAACUGGACAUUCUAAGAGGAGGAAGGGAAUUCUGGUGAAAGGAAAAAAAAUGGUACCCACUUUUUACAAACAUUAAAGGCCAUAUCUAAUUUGGGGAUUAUGGAGCAGAUCAAUCUCCAUGGCCAGAGCAUAAGAAGAAGAUGCAGCUGUUUCAAAUGGAAAGUGAGGUUGGGUCAAAUUGUAAAAUUUUCCCAAGAAGCAUUUCAUAGCCAUGCUGGCAAGGACCAUGAUGGCAAUAAUAGGUACUUAAAAUCACAUUUCAGAAAAUAAUGGAAAGAUUACAAAAUAUUAAGAUAAAAAUAUUGAUGUGUCCUAGAGAGACCAAAACCUUUCUUUUAAAGAAACCAAAUAUCAAGCUUCCCUAAUGCCAAGGAAGUUAUUAUUAUGCAAAUCGCUAUUGUAUUUCUGUUAAUUGGGGUUUGUUCUCAAUUAAAGAGGGGAAAAGUUUUUAUCUUUAAAAGUGGAAAUUAAACCAAUUUUAAACUAUGCAAUGAAACUCAACAAAAUUGCAAAGUGUGUUUUUCUAUAAUUAACAUUCUUCAGUGACCCCAUUUUCUACGUUGUCAGUAUACAUUGUUCUCACAAUGUGUAUUUUUUUUUUUUUGG
Molecule: long non-coding RNA, 7226 nt
Filed under: Sus scrofa (pig)
Lineage: Eukaryota; Metazoa; Chordata; Mammalia; Artiodactyla; Suidae
Description: lncRNA (ENSSSCG00000054816.1)
Source: RNAcentral